RNAcentral lists this ribosomal RNA (638 nucleotides) under uncultured bacterium. RNAcentral describes it as "bacterial SSU rRNA". It matches the Rfam family "Bacterial small subunit ribosomal RNA", at positions 93 to 730 of the family's 1533-position model. The record is from RNAcentral.
GACCGGCGCACGGGCGAGUAACACGUAUCCAACCUACCUCAUACUCGGGGAUAGCCUUUCGAAAGAAAGAUUAAUAUCCGAUAGCAUAUAUUUCCCGCAUGGGUUUUAUAUUAAAGAAAUUCGGUAUGAGAUGGGGAUGCGUUCCAUUAGUUUGUUGGGGGGGUAACGGCCCACCAAGACUACGAUGGAUAGGGGUUCUGAGAGGAAGGUCCCCCACAUUGGAACUGAGACACGGUCCAAACUCCUACGGGAGGCAGCAGUGAGGAAUAUUGGUCAAUGGACGCGAGUCUGAACCAGCCAAGUAGCGUGAAGGAUGACUGCCCUAUGGGUUGUAAACUUCUUUUAUAUGGGAAUAAAGUGGUCCACGUGUGGACUUUUGUAUGUACCAUAUGAAUAAGGAUCGGCUAACUCCGUGCCAGCAGCCGCGGUAAUACGGAGGAUCCGAGCGUUAUCCGGAUUUAUUGGGUUUAAAGGGAGCGUAGGCGGAUUGUUAAGUCAGUUGUGAAAGUUUGCGGCUCAACCGUAAAAUUGCAGUUGAUACUGGCAGUCUUGAGUGCAGUAGAGGUGGGCGGAAUUCGUGGUGUAGCGGUGAAAUGCUUAGAUAUCACGAAGAACUCCGAUUGCGAAGGCAGCUCACU